RNAcentral lists this ribosomal RNA (253 nucleotides) under uncultured bacterium. RNAcentral's name for it is "partial 16S ribosomal RNA". It matches the Rfam family "Bacterial small subunit ribosomal RNA", at positions 524 to 776 of the family's 1533-position model. The record is from RNAcentral.
UACGAAGGGUGCAAACGUUGCUCGGAAUCAUUGGGCGUAAAGCGCACGUAGGCGGCUUCGCAAGUCGGAUGUGAAAUCCCUAGGCUCAACCAAGGACGUGCAUCCGAAACUGCGAAGCUUGAGUACAGAAGAGGAUCGCGGAAUUCCCGGUGUAGAGGUGAAAUUCGUAGAUAUCGGGAGGAACACCAGUGGCGAAGGCGGCGAUCUGGGCUGAUACUGACGCUGAGGCGCGAAAGCGUGGGGAGCAAACAGG